UUUAUUAGUUAUAAUUAAUAAUAAAGCCUGCUCAAUGAAAAUUAAAUAGCCGCUUAUAGUGCUAAGGUAGCAUAAUAAUUUGUCUUUUAAUUAAAGACUAGAAUAAAAGGCUUAACAUCUUAAUUAAUUUUUAAAGAAAAUUAAUUAAAAUUAUCUUAAUUGUAAAAAGACAAUUUUUAAAAAGAAAGACGAUAAGACCCUAUUGAACUUUACUUUAGUUUAACUGGGGCAGUUAAUUAAUUAUUAUUUUAAAAAAAAUUUAAAUUAUUAAUUUGACCUAAUAUAAUUAAUAAAAUAAUUAAGUUACCAUAGGGAUAACAGCGUAAUAAAAUUUUAAAGAUCUUAUAAAAAAUAAAGAUUGCGACCUCGAUGUUGAUUUAAUAUCCUAAUUUACGCAAUAGUUAAUUAAGGAAGUCUGUUCGACUUUUAAAAAAUUACAUGAUUUGAGUUCAGACCGGUGUAAACCAGGUCGGUUUCUAUCUUCUAAAUUAUUUCUUCUAGUACGAAAGGACCUAAGAAAAUAAUAAUAUU
RNAcentral lists this ribosomal RNA (531 nucleotides) under Lycosa munieri. RNAcentral's name for it is "partial 16S ribosomal RNA". The stretch from base 183 to 485 matches the Rfam family "Bacterial large subunit ribosomal RNA", at positions 2074 to 2646 of the family's 2925-position model. The record is from RNAcentral. Lineage: Eukaryota; Metazoa; Arthropoda; Arachnida; Araneae; Lycosidae.